GCAUUAGUGGUUCAGUGGUAGAAUUCUUGCCUUCCAUGUGGUAGAUCCAGGUUCAAUUCCCAGUGAAUGCA
Molecule: transfer RNA, 71 nt
Filed under: Loxodonta africana (African savanna elephant)
Lineage: Eukaryota; Metazoa; Chordata; Mammalia; Proboscidea; Elephantidae
Rfam family: tRNA
About the family: Transfer RNA (tRNA) molecules are approximately 80 nucleotides in length. Their secondary structure includes four short double-helical elements and three loops (D, anti-codon, and T loops). Further hydrogen bonds mediate the characteristic L-shaped molecular structure. tRNAs have two regions of fundamental functional importance: the anti-codon, which is responsible for specific mRNA codon recognition, and the 3' end, to which the tRNAs corresponding amino acid is attached (by aminoacyl-tRNA synthetases). tRNAs cope with the degeneracy of the genetic code in two manners: having more than one tRNA (with a specific anti-codon) for a particular amino acid; and 'wobble' base-pairing, i.e. permitting non-standard base-pairing at the 3rd anti-codon position.
Source: Rfam by way of RNAcentral